Python bivittatus (Burmese python) is the source of this 732-nucleotide non-coding RNA. Lineage: Eukaryota; Metazoa; Chordata; Lepidosauria; Squamata; Pythonidae. The record is from RefSeq and is a predicted model, not a curated record.
CAAUCAGAUAAAAAAUAAGGACUUUUGUUUCUCCUUCAACAAACCUCUGCCUCUUAAAAAAUGUGAAAAAACUGUGUGGAUGAAUGGCUAUCAUGCCUCACAAAGCAUGUGCAGUUCCAUGCCUAUGUCCAGUAUAAAAAAAAGCAAAGCUGAGUAAACCACAGCCUGGAGGGCAAAGCAAGGCCAACAUCACCGAGAUGGGGGCAAACUUGGGGUUGCCAAGCCAUUGCAGCAGCUUAUAGAAACAAAUGAAGGAAGCUCUGAUUUUUUUCCACAACAUAUCAUGGGAAAAUCUGCUGGGGAUGCUCUUCGCAUUACAGCAACAAUAGAAGACAAAAGUCUCAGGGCUUUACUAUUGCUGGAUAGAAACCAAAGCUAACUUUUAAAAUAGUUUAGCAUAAAUCCUGAGGCACUGGAAGAGUAAAGACAGUCAGAAUUCCCAGGCUAAGAUUUACCUCUGAAAUGCAGGAUUAUCCUUUAAAGGUAUUGGAUUUUUCACUGAAGAGUUUUAGAGCUUGGAUAUUAUAAGCUUGUAGCUAGCUGAAGCAAAUCCUCUAGGAACAAGACUGUAAAAUGUUAGAGAUGAGCUGCUAUUCAAAAUUGAAUGCAACAACCAGACCUUAUUAGAGAUGGUUUCCUUUAUUUGGCCUGACAAGAUGUGUGGGAAGGAAUUUUAUUUUUGGAUAUACAUGAUGCUUGAAUUGUUCCUGGCAUCUCAAGAAUUUUUUUUUU